RNAcentral lists this ribosomal RNA (365 nucleotides) under Escherichia coli. Its description in RNAcentral is "partial 23S ribosomal RNA". It matches the Rfam family "Bacterial large subunit ribosomal RNA", at positions 165 to 568 of the family's 2925-position model. Lineage: Bacteria; Pseudomonadati; Pseudomonadota; Gammaproteobacteria; Enterobacterales; Enterobacteriaceae. The record is from RNAcentral.
CAUAGGUUAAUGAGGCGAACCGGGGGAACUGAAACAUCUAAGUACCCCGAGGAAAAGAAAUCAACCGAGAUUCCCCCAGUAGCGGCGAGCGAACGGGGAGCAGCCCAGAGCCUGAAUCAGUGUGUGUGUUAGUGGAAGCGUCUGGAAAGGCGCGCGAUACAGGGUGACAGCCCCGUACACAAAAAUGCACAUGCUGUGAGCUCGAUGAGUAGGGCGGGACACGUGGUAUCCUGUCUGAAUAUGGGGGGACCAUCCUCCAAGGCUAAAUACUCCUGACUGACCGAUAGUGAACCAGUACCGUGAGGGAAAGGCGAAAAGAACCCCGGCGAGGGGAGUGAAAAAGAACCUGAAACCGUGUACGUACA